UUAGAGGUCAUGUUGAUCUCCAAUUCAUAACUCGUUUUUCCCCUUGUGUGUUUAUUCUGACCAGAAAACCACUCAGGUUAUCAACUGUAACAUACUGUCAGUCCCUGAGAUGACCAGACUGGUUCUUCCAGGCAUGGUUGAAAGAGGGACAGGGUUGAUCAUUAAUAUCUCCUCUGAGGUGGCCGUUCACCCACAGCCCUUGUUGUCCCUUUAUUCCGCCACUAAG
Centropristis striata (black sea bass) is the source of this 226-nucleotide long non-coding RNA. RefSeq lists it as uncharacterized. NCBI's taxonomy places the organism in Eukaryota, Metazoa, Chordata, Actinopteri, Perciformes, Serranidae. The transcript is spliced from 3 exons. The record is from RefSeq and is a predicted model, not a curated record.